Molecule: long non-coding RNA, 894 nt
Organism: Gopherus flavomarginatus (Mexican gopher tortoise)
Lineage: Eukaryota; Metazoa; Chordata; Testudines; Testudinidae
Exons: 4
Source: RefSeq, a predicted model, not a curated record
AAAAAUUAUUGUAUUUACACUUUUAAAAAAAUGACUUUUGAUUUUUUAACAGAUAACCAAGCCGGGGCCAUACAAGAUUACUGCUUUGGUGUGUGACAAAUGGCCAACAGUUGCAGAGACAGAAACACCCGAGGAGUUGGUUUAAUAAUAGGCUGCUGAAACUAUGAUUGACGGAGCCCUUGCCCUAGGUGAUUCAGAAACAAAGGACACAAACGGGGUGUCAAUGGUAAAACCCAAAGAACAUGGCGAGGAAGGUGCUACGGGGUCCGACGGUGCGUCAGCUGAGGAUAAUGAUAAUUCAGAAUCAGACGAGGACAUCUUCAGAGGAUGAAGAGAGGCGGCCUUUAAGCAGAACAACCAUAAUAUGUACCUGUUGUUUUUGUGUGAAGCAAGAUGUUAAAAAAAAGUCUGUAAAAAGUAAGGAGAGUGACCAGAAAAGCUGUGAAGAAGAAGAAGAUGCUGUUAUGGUUGAUAUUAUUAGAGCUGUUGUAGUAAAAGCCUUUUACCACUGUUUGAAAAAACAACUUUUGGAAAACUGUGCAGCCUGCACUGUAAAUAAGUCCAACCCUUUUAGUCACCCUUGUAUUUUUUGGGAUCGCUCAGAAGUAUUUUACCAGCUUAGACGUAUUUCUUCUAAACUGAACGCAGCCCAGCUUGUAAAUAUAAUUAUAGCUGAAGGCUACAAACUGAAAAAGCUUAACAUAACCACUGAAACUAUAACCAAAGUUGUUAAAAUGAUUAGGGAGGUUGCAAAAACAUCUGACCCGGUGGCCUUGCUGGUAGACCUGUCAAAAGAGGUGGCCCCCGAUAUUGGCCAAUCGGUGUGUAGCAGGGUUCGUCAAAUGGAUUAUAAAACUUUUUACAUGCAAGCUUGUGACCCUAGAGGCUUAAAAA